This 445-nucleotide ribosomal RNA is filed under the name uncultured Eubacteriales bacterium. Its description in RNAcentral is "uncultured Clostridiales bacterium partial 16S ribosomal RNA". Lineage: Bacteria; Bacillati; Bacillota; Clostridia; Eubacteriales. The record is from RNAcentral.
CACGUAUUUAGCCGGGGCUUCUUGGUCAGGUACCGUCAUUCUCUUCCCUGCUGACAGAGCUUUACAUACCGAAGUACUCCAUCGCUCACGCGGCGUCGCUGCAUCAGGGUUGCCCCCAUUGUGCAAUAUCCCCCACUGCUGCCUCCCGUAGGAGUCUGGGCCGUGUCUCAGUCCCAAUGUGGCCGUCACCCUCUCAGGCCGGCUACUGAUCGUCGCCUUGGUGGGCCGUUACCCGCCAACAAGCUAAUCAGACGCGGACCCAUCCCGCACCGCAUGCGCUUUCCGCGCGGCCCCAUCGCGGGGCCUGCGCAUAUGCGGUAUAGCAGCCGUUUCGGCUGUUGCCCCAGUGCGGGGUAGGUUGUCCACGCGUUACUCACCCGUCCGCCACUCAGUCAGGGGGCUCCUCUCCGAAAAAUUCCGACCCCUCUCGCUUCGUCGACUUGCA